AGAGUUUGAUCCUGGCUCAGGAUGAACGCUAGCUACAGGCUUAACACAUGCAAGUCGAGCGGAACUGCUUCGGCAGUUAGCGGCAGACGGGUGAGUAACACGUAUCCAACCUUCCCCUUACUCGGGUAUAGCCUCGGGAAACUGAGAGUAAUCCCCGAUGUGGUGUACGCUUCGCAUGUAAUGCACACCAAAGAUUAAUCGGUAAGGGAUGGGGAUGCGUUCCAUUAGCUAGUAGGCGGGGUAACGGCCCACCUAGGCGAUGAUGGAUAGGGGUUCUGAGAGGAAGGUCCCCCACAUUGGAACUGCGACACGGUCCAAACUCCUACGGGAGGCAGCAGUGAGGAAUAUUGGUCAAUGGCCGAGAGGCUGAACCAGCCAAGUAGCGUGCCAGGAUGACGGCCCUACGGGUUGUAAACUGCUUUUGUGCGGGAAUAACGGUCGACACGUGUGUUGAUGUGCAUGUACCGUACGAAUAAGGAUCGGCUAACUCCGUGCCAGCCGCCGC
Molecule: ribosomal RNA, 505 nt
Filed under: uncultured bacterium
Lineage: Bacteria
Description: bacterial SSU rRNA
Rfam family: Bacterial small subunit ribosomal RNA
Source: RNAcentral